This 140-nucleotide ribosomal RNA is filed under the name uncultured eukaryote. Its description in RNAcentral is "partial 18S ribosomal RNA". The record is from RNAcentral.
UGUUGGAGUGAUUUGUCUGGCUACUUCCGUUGACGAACGAGACCUUAACCUGCUAAUUAGUUACGCAUAGCUCGGGUUAGGUGGGGAAGUUGUUAAAGGGAGGUAGUGUGUCUAGGGCAAGGAAGUUUGGAGCAACUACA